This 388-nucleotide ribosomal RNA is filed under the name uncultured bacterium. RNAcentral describes it as "bacterial SSU rRNA". It matches the Rfam family "Bacterial small subunit ribosomal RNA", at positions 28 to 417 of the family's 1533-position model. The record is from RNAcentral.
GACGAACGCUGGCGGCGUGCUUAACACAUGCAAGUCGAGCGGUAAGGUCCUUUCGGGGGUACACGAGCGGCGAACGGGUGAGUAACACGUGGGUGACCUGCCCUCAGCUCUGGGAUAAGCCUGGGAAACCGGGUCUAAUACUGGAUAUGACUCCAUGACGCAUGUUGUGGGGUGGAAAGCCUUGUGCGGCUGAGGAUGGGCCCGCGGCCUAUCAGCUUGUUGGUGGGGUGAUGGCCUACCAAGGCGACGACGGGUAGCCGGCCUGAGAGGGCGACCGGCCACACUGGGACUGAGACACGGCCCAGACUCCUACGGGAGGCAGCAGUGGGGAAUCUUGCGCAAUGGGCGAAAGCCUGACGCAGCGACGCCGCGUGAGGGAUGACGGCCU